This is a non-coding RNA of Rattus norvegicus (Norway rat), 3992 nucleotides long. The record is from RefSeq and is a predicted model, not a curated record. NCBI's taxonomy places the organism in Eukaryota, Metazoa, Chordata, Mammalia, Rodentia, Muridae.
ACUCAUCAUUUUUGUACGUUCUUUAAAAAAUUGAAAUAGUAAUUAUGACACUUCAAAGUGACUUUUAAAAAUAUCCAGAAGAAAAAAAAAGAAGCAAUGUAUUUGGAAAAAGUUUAGAAACUAAGAGAUGUGCAAUUUGAAUCAUCCAGAGGAGGGUUAUUACCCAAUAAUGAAGCCUCACACUCCCGUUACACUGGCUUUUGUAUGCGAGCCUUUCAAACCAUGAGCUAAUGAUGCUUCCUGCCUCCCCUAUGGCUGGGGUCCCUGUUGACAUCUUCUGAUGAAUGGAGAAAAUAGGACCAGGUGAACUUGACUUGUCUUCACUUCAAACCAUUUAUUAAUGCCGUGGUUUAGAAUACAACUCCCAGGUUCUCUUUAUUUGUUUCUCUUUCCUAGAAUACCAAGACUUCUUAUUCCUUGCCCUGCACAAUGAGGUCCCCAGGUACGGAGGAAGCACAACACAGAGAUGAUCAGAGAUGAUCGGGUUGGGGAGCUGGAUUUAAGAGCCCACCCCCAAUGAGGCUUAAUGGACCUAGCUGAGGAGACUAAAUCCUCUUAUGGAAAUGAGGAGGGAAGAAGGGGGUGGGGCUUGCUGUGUAUAAGCUCCAAUUGUUAAGCUUCCAGGAACCUGCCUGCAGGUUGUUAAACCUAAGGUAGCUUGAAGUCAGCCAUGGUGGGAAGAUUUACACCAUGAACCCCAGCAAACAAAACAAGUGAGGACUGCCCUACAGCGCAAUGAGCUCACUAGGGCAACCUAGAAAGCUGUGAAGAAAACAAGGGGUUAUGCCUUAUCAGUCUUUUGUCUAAGUUAGUCAGAGGGAAGCCAAGGUUGGAAGGGUGUUCGUUGCCUUUAAAUUACUCUAUGCCAUGUGGUCAUUGAUCAGUUGAUGAUACUGAGAAGGGAAGGAAAACUCACCAGGAAUCCAGUAAACUGAGGUCUAUGCUGGUAGGAUGCUUUAAACCUGAGGUUUGGGUUAUUAUUAGACUACGCUGGGAAAUCAAGAGGUAAAACCAACUCCUUACUUUCCCUGGGUGUCUACUUUCUUUCCUCUGUUUCCUCCUGGCUCCUUUCAGUCCCUAGGAUUUGUUCAUUCAUUCAUUCAUUCAUUCAUUCAUUCAGAAGACGUGCUUUGAAAUGGGGGUGCUAGGAGCAGAGGCUCAAAUGGAGAGUAAACAUUCAGUCUACCCAUAUGUGAAGACAUUUUCCUAUACCAUUUAAUUAUUGCUUAGUUAACAUAUAAAUGGCCCGAUUAGGUGAACAUUAUCUUUAUCCCAGACUUGGGAAAAUCGAGGUAAUAUUUGUAUUUUGGCAUUAAAAUAUGAUAUUGAUAUUUGCUAUUAAUUUUAUAUUUUGGAUAAAGGGUGUUCACUCAGAACUUAGACUUCACCUUCCCAUAGGCAUGGGGCGCUAAGGAAGGCUGUUCUGAGCCCCUUCAGAUUCAGAGGGAAGACUAGGAAGUCGAAUGAGGCAGCCCUGCAGGAGCUAGUACCCUUCCCUGCAGCAUCUGCAUCUGCUGAGACCCGCGUUUCCUUAUGCAAACGUUUGCAGAGUAUUCUCCUAAAGACCCUGACCUGCUUUAGCGGAUGGAAUUUGGCUAAGGCUGAGCACGUUGGGUUAAAGCUGGACUGAAGAGAACACGAUGUCUGGUUCCACACAGAAAGGGGUGGAGACGAAGCACCAGAUCUACUUGAAGACUCUGGACACCAUCUUUUGAGGCAAGCCCCACCUCUCCUCAGGGGCCUGGCGAUGUGUUUUCAGUGUUCCUGUUGCAAUGAGAUAUCUCGUUGCUAAUUUUCUCAAAUUGAAAGGGCCCUGCCUUGAAUUGUUGGGGAAUUAAGAUUCUGGACCUGGUAGCUGCUCAAAACUGCAUCUUAGAAGCCUAGAUGACCAAUCCCUCUGAGGAGAAAGGCUUUUACCUAACUAUCUUUGUGUUCUUCUCAAUGGGUUUUAAAUUUUAAUUGAUGGAAAGAUAUAUUGGUCCAGAAAUGAUCUGCACACAUCCAAGACAAUUGGAGCAAACCUUUGGAUCUAUAAAACCAAUGAAGCAAGAAACCAACUGACCAACCAAAGAACCAAAGAAUCAAUAACCAAACAACCAAACAACUAAACAACCAACCAACCAAUCAACCACAAACAGCACUGCUGCAUCUCAGCAGCAGAUGGUAUCUUGUUGAAAAUCCUUAUGUGAAUUCAGAACAUGUUCUGAAAGGAAACAUUGACCUCCGGCUGUAUCAUGGCAUAUGCAAUCAAACCAACACUUAGGUCACCUUUUGCAUGAAAACUCACAUUAAAUUUAGGUCAUUUAUGUUUAUGCAAGUACCAUCUUGGGAGAGGGAGUUACUCUGUACCUUUCCAUAAUUGAGAAAAGUCCCUGGGGUAGGACCUUGGCAAAUGAUGACCAGAGGCAGCUGAAGCAAUUUUAUGGCUGCUUCCCUGUGUACACAUGCUUACAGUCUCCUUUCAAAAGCUCCCACUUUAGAAUUUCCAGAGGAAAGCGUGCAGUGUAUGAUCACAGAAAUUAUUCUGCUUAGGAGGCUAUAAGAGCUAUGAAAGGAAUGAAGCCUACAGGCAGAGUAGUGCCUGGACAUCCAAAGAUGGCUGUCUGGGGUGGCUGAGAUUGGCACACCCAUUACUGAAUGCAAGCUCCAUAGACUUCCCGUGAUUAUGUCAAUCAGAAAUGUUUCCAUGAAGGCGUUUGCAAUGGAGAGUAGGUAUGAGGGCACGUUUCUCCUUUAGCUAAAGCUUGCAAUGAGAACAAGGCAUAGAAUUAAUGCCUGGGAACAAAGCCCCAGAUGAUGAGCUCAAAUGGGCCUUCCUGGGCUGUAAGAAGACCUUUAUCCACUGCUGAUGUCCACCAAAAGGAAGUGCAUGCAGCCAUGUCUUCAGAGCUCCUGCUUUGCAGGGCUGGCAGCUGCCUUCUUAUCCUGGGCUGAGGCUGUUUCUGGCCAUACAAAAGAUGGCUGUGGAAUGUGAGCUGGCCUGGGGUUGCUGGGCCUCAGGCAUUACUGUAGAUUCUCUGGGGGCUUAGCUCUUGGCAUAACAAUCCUAUCCACUCUGCUACACAUUUCUCUUGCUGUCGGGACUAUCAUAUACAUAAACCCACAAAGAACUGUCUGCGCCAACUACUCUGUUUCCCAGAGAAGCUGAUCCCCAAAGAGCAGGCCGGGAAGAGCUAAUGAACCAGCUCUGAAGGGAGAAUCACGAAGAAGACUUCUCCUAAAGGUCAAGGUGGCUCAGAGCUCUGUGACCUAAUAAAGUCAUGGGGUUCGUGAGCAGGAGAGUCUUUAGCUGGGAACCAGACUGAGAAAGUGGGAAAGAAGGAAGAGAGGUACAGGACAGGCUUUUUACCCUGUGUGCCUCAUAAAAUGAAUGAUCAAAAGUAAAUUACAGACUUGCAAAUGGGUGGUUAACGACUGAGACAAUAUGAGUGCAGAGAGAAGCUCAUCAAAACACACUGGGCAAGAGCAGGAGGGAAGGGCUGAAUACAAAUGAUGCUCUAUAAAGCCACAGCAUCAAAGCAAACGGCCCCCAGUGGAGGGUCCAGGUCAUUCCCCACACCUGUCGGGUAGAGAGAACGUGCUGCAAGAGCCCUCUUUCAAAGGAGGAGCAGAUGAAGCCCCUGUGUGGAAAGGGGAAGAAAGACUGACGGGAAAGAGGAGUGACAGUGUCAGAAGAACACAGCCUCAGCUGCUGAUGAGAGCCGCCCUCUUCUUAGACAGUGGGGUGGGACGGCAGGCAGCAGACUUCAGGCUUUCAGCUGGGGCCAGCAUAGAACUAUUCUUAGCCGAGGCUGGGGGAGGGUAGGAGAGGCUACGAAGGAUGCUUAUGUCUAAUCUAUGCAAUAAUUCACAGCCUCUGGGCUCACGAGCACAUGUAACUAGGGUACGAUGGCCCAGUGUAGCACAGGAAUCCCAGCACUCUGGAAAUGGAGGCAAGAAUAUUCAAAGUGAGAUCCUGUUUCAAUAAAAACCAAAACAAAGGUGGUAGAUGA